GUCAAGGACGUUCUGCUAGGCAAUGCACAGAACCAUUGAUCAUUGUUUUUCUUCACUGUUUACAGAGAAUCUCUUGGCAACAGAAGUGUCUUUGCCAUGCAGAAAGAAUUCAGAGUGCUGCAAGGUUUUGGCUUUUUGGAACAACACAUUAAGCACCUACUAUGUGCCAGUCACUGUGCCAGGAGUUGGAAAUAUGAGGAAGACCGUAAUUCUCAUAAUGAGAAUACAAGGAAGACCAUCUCUCAAGAAAGGAACAUCAUAAAACAUGUUUACUGUCAAGUCCUUGUCAUUAUCAAAAAUAUCUCCAGAUUGAUGUCAUUCUGAGAAAAGUGAUUUCAUACUGAAAAAAAUUCUACAAAAAUAGUAAAACUCUUCUUCUCAAUUUUCAGAACUUGGAUGGGGUUGGGGGCAGGUGCUUUCAUCUAUUUUCAUCUUGUCCUGGUAGAAAUUAUUUGCUUGAUUAACAUUUUGGUGGAGAAGUUCAGUCUCUAAGGCUACAGAUGAGAAGAUCAGUUACUGGAUGGGUUCCUAACUUCAAUGUCAAAUCCAAGAGCCUGAAAAUAAAGGAUGGAAAGAAAGGGAAACAAAGAAAAGUUAUCAGACAAUGUGAAGACAUUUUAUGGAGAGGAAGAAAGAGUGAGUGAGCACAGGAAAAAUCACAAAGCAGUAUAUGAAGAAAAGAAAGAGAUAACAGUUAUUAGUAAGUAAAGAGAUAAUUAAGAGAUAAUCCUUUCAGUGGCAUGAACACCAUAGUUUGUGACAUCACUGGUCAUUAAUGAUUUGUGAGAAGCAGUGUCUCAACUAUGUUUCUGUUACAUUAAUUAUACCCAAAAUAAAAU
This 839-nucleotide long non-coding RNA is filed under the name Homo sapiens (human). Its description in RNAcentral is "HSALNT0369350". Lineage: Eukaryota; Metazoa; Chordata; Mammalia; Primates; Hominidae. The record is from RNAcentral.